This 253-nucleotide ribosomal RNA is filed under the name uncultured bacterium. RNAcentral describes it as "partial 16S ribosomal RNA". It matches the Rfam family "Bacterial small subunit ribosomal RNA", at positions 524 to 776 of the family's 1533-position model. The record is from RNAcentral.
UACAGAGGGCGCGAGCGUUAAUCGGAAUUACUGGGCGUAAAGCGCGCGUAGGCGGCUUUUCAAGUCGAUUGUGAAAUCCCCGGGCUUAACCUGGGAACUGCAGUCGAGACUGUCUAGCUAGAGUAUGGGAGAGGGAAGUGGAAUUUCAGGUGUAGCGGUGAAAUGCGUAGAUAUCUGAAGGAACAUCAGUGGCGAAAGCGACUUCCUGGACCAAUACUGACGCUCAUGUGCGAAAGCGUGGGGAGCUAACAGG